RNAcentral lists this ribosomal RNA (253 nucleotides) under uncultured bacterium. RNAcentral's name for it is "partial 16S ribosomal RNA". It matches the Rfam family "Bacterial small subunit ribosomal RNA", at positions 524 to 776 of the family's 1533-position model. The record is from RNAcentral.
CACGUAGGGUGCGAGCGUUGUCCGGAAUUACUGGGCGUAAAGGGCGCGUAGGCGGCCUGUUAAGUCGGACGUGAAAUCCCUCGGCUCAACCGGGGAACUGCGUCCGAUACUGGCGGGCUUGAAUUCGGGAGAGGGAUGUGGAAUUCCAGGUGUAGCGGUGAAAUGCGUAGAUAUCUGGAGGAACACCGGUGGCGAAGGCGGCAUCCUGGACCGACAUUGACGCUGAGGCGCGAAAGCCAGGGGAGCAAACGGG